GCCAGAGUGGUGGGAUUGGCAGACACGCGGGUUUUAGGUACCCGUGCCUUCGGGCGUGGGGUUCAAGUCCCCCUCUGGCA
RNAcentral lists this transfer RNA (80 nucleotides) under Nocardioidaceae bacterium. RNAcentral describes it as "tRNA-Leu". Lineage: Bacteria; Bacillati; Actinomycetota; Actinomycetes; Propionibacteriales; Nocardioidaceae. The record is from RNAcentral.